UCAACCUCUGUGAAAUGUUGUUCACACAUCUAGGUUUUUGCUUUCCCGUGGCAAUGAUAGAGAGAGAAGAAAAGAGAGAAUGAGAUAGAGAAAGAGAGCGUGAAAGGACGAGGGAUGUUAGAUCGGUGGCUUCCAUAGCUCCAACAGUGACGACGGUCAAGCGGCUAGGGUUCCGAUCAAGUUCUGGCAAGCUUCUGUUAGGGCUUUGGGCAUCCAUCUUUAGUAAUCGAAGCAUCUGGGUUGUUUUAAGGUUGCAGGGAUGAACAAUGACUAGAAUUAUUCUCAACUUCUAACCUUCUAUUUCACUUUGAUAUUUGUACAGAAGGAUAUACAAGAAACACCCAAAGGACUGAAGGAGACAUUUUAACCUUGCAUUGGAGGGUAUGGUGACAUGUAAAAUCUUAUAUGUUGUUAAAACAAUAUUGGAGUGCUUGCUCAAAUUGGAAGAGACCUUG
Molecule: long non-coding RNA, 455 nt
Organism: Helianthus annuus (common sunflower)
Lineage: Eukaryota; Viridiplantae; Streptophyta; Magnoliopsida; Asterales; Asteraceae
Exons: 4
Source: RefSeq, a predicted model, not a curated record